Molecule: transfer RNA, 68 nt
Filed under: Melanotus cribricollis
Lineage: Eukaryota; Metazoa; Arthropoda; Insecta; Coleoptera; Elateridae
Description: tRNA-Met
Rfam family: tRNA
About the family: Transfer RNA (tRNA) molecules are approximately 80 nucleotides in length. Their secondary structure includes four short double-helical elements and three loops (D, anti-codon, and T loops).
Source: RNAcentral
AAAAAGAUAAGCUAAAUGUUAAGCUUUUGGGUUCAUACCCCAAAUAUAAAGUAAACCUUUUCUUUUUA